Molecule: unclassified non-coding RNA, 324 nt
Filed under: Hevea brasiliensis (rubber tree)
Lineage: Eukaryota; Viridiplantae; Streptophyta; Magnoliopsida; Malpighiales; Euphorbiaceae
Source: RNAcentral
UAAUCACUUUAAAUAUCUAGACUCGGUCCUUCAAGUAGAUGGGGGGAUGUGAGGAGGAUGAUAGUCAUAGAAUUAAAGUCGGAUAGUUGAAGUGGAGAUGUGUUACAGGAGUUUUAUGUGAUCAUAAAAUUCUCAAAUAAGUUGAAAAGAAAAUUUUACUGUACAGCCAUACAACCGGCCAUGUUAUAUGGUAGUUAGUGUUGGGCAAUAAAGUAGCCGUAUGUGUCUAAGAUAAGAGUUGUGGAGAUGAGAAUGUUAAGAUGGAUGAGUGGCCAUACUAGUCUAGAUAAAGCCCGUAACGAGAGUAUUGGAGAAAAGGUAGGA